RNAcentral lists this transfer RNA (541 nucleotides) under uncultured Prochlorococcus sp. RNAcentral's name for it is "partial 16S-23S ribosomal RNA intergenic spacer". The stretch from base 212 to 284 matches the Rfam family "tRNA". Lineage: Bacteria; Bacillati; Cyanobacteriota; Cyanophyceae; Synechococcales; Prochlorococcaceae. The record is from RNAcentral.
CAGGGAGACAACAAAAUGUUUAAUAUUAUUAUUUUGUCACCUUAGGUCGAUCGGUAUCUCACGUUCUUAAUUUGUUAAGAAUUUCAUUUCCUAAGUUUUUCUAGGUCACACCCAUUAUUUUUCCUGGGCCAUUAGCUCAGGUGGUUAGAGCGCACCCCUGAUAAGGGUGAGGUCCCUGGUUCAAGUCCAGGAUGGCCCAUAUCUCUAUGUUGGGGGUAUAGCUCAGUUGGUAGAGCGCCUGCUUUGCAAGCAGGAUGUCAGCGGUUCGAGUCCGCUUACCUCCACUGAUUACCACCUCUUCCAUAACUGGUAGAAAGGAAAUGUUUUGAGUUGUGAUUAUUAUUAUGAACGAAUCUAGCUUCCUAAUGAAAUCAUUAAGAUGCUGGACUCAUUGAAUUAAUUUCAUUGUUUUCAGAGAACCUUGACAACUGCAUAGAUUUUUUUAAAGACAAUAAGCAUCUUUAAUGAUGCAGAUUUAUUAUUUGUGCGAAUGCAUUAAUAACAAUUCUAUUAAGCUGAUGCUUCAAUUUUUGAAGUUAUU